GUCCACGCUGUAAACGAUGGGCACUAGGUGUCCGGGGUAUUGACCCCCUGGGUGCCGCAGCUAACGCAUUAAGUGCCCCGCCUGGGGAGUACGGUCGCAAGAUUAAAACUCAAAGGAAUUGACGGGGGCCCGCACAAGCGGUGGAGCAUGUGGUUCAAUUCGACGCAACGCGAAGAACCUUACCUGGACUAGACAACAGUGGACCGUCCUAGAAAUAGGAUUUUCCCUUCGGGGACCGCUGGUUCAGGUGCUGCAUGGCUGUCGU
RNAcentral lists this ribosomal RNA (265 nucleotides) under uncultured bacterium. RNAcentral's name for it is "partial 16S ribosomal RNA". It matches the Rfam family "Bacterial small subunit ribosomal RNA", at positions 793 to 1055 of the family's 1533-position model. The record is from RNAcentral.